CAGCCAGAAAUCGGCAGGUUGCUAAGUGGGUCCGUGAGGAGUUGUGUCCAGAAGGAACAAGGCAUUUCUACGACAUCUGGCAUAUUGGGAAAAGUCUACAAAAAGCACUGGAUACUGUGGCCAAGGAGAAGGAUUGCGAGGACCUGAAGCUAUGGAGACCCGCCAUCAACCAUUUAUACUGGACUGCGGCUUCCACCCCAAAUGGUGAUCCUGAUCAGAUGGAGGCCAAGAAGCAGAGCAUGUUGAACCAUGUUCAGGAUGUACAUGAACACAACUAUCCUUCAUUUCAACAAUGUGCGCACCCACCUCUGGAAGGAGAGGGAAGGAACAAGCAGUGGUUUGAACCAGGAUCAACAGCCGCGGUAAAGUUGGAAAGUGUUGCUUCCAGAAAGACCCUGCUGAAGGAUAUUUGACAGCUCUCACCACAACACCAAACAUUUUCCUUGGAGGCAUUCCAUUCACUAAUCCUUCACUUUGCGCCAAAGCACUCCGGCUUUUCUUUUCUUGGAAUGCACAGCAGACUUCUCUUAGCGGCAAUGGAGACAGAGACCUGGCUCAAACGAACAAUGAAUAUGCAUCAGCCCUGAUGGUCUCCCAGAGAGAGGGAUAUAUAAGGUCACCACAGGCCCUCAAAGAAGACAGCGCCAUCCUAUCCUCAGCUGCAACUGCCCCUCUUUCCA
Long non-coding RNA from Alosa sapidissima (American shad), 680 nucleotides. RefSeq lists it as uncharacterized. Lineage: Eukaryota; Metazoa; Chordata; Actinopteri; Clupeiformes; Clupeidae. The record is from RefSeq and is a predicted model, not a curated record. The transcript is spliced from 6 exons.